CCUGAGGCACGGUGACUCAAGGUCACAUGCUGAAGGCUACAAGGUAAGUUUUUUGUUUUUUGUUUUUUUUUUUUUUUUUGAGACGCGCUGGAGUGCAGUGGUGCGAUCUCGGCUCAUUGCAAGCUCCGCCUCCCGGGUUCACGCCAUUCUCCUGCCUCAGCCUCCCAAGUAGCUGGGACUACAGGCGCCCGCCACCACACCCGGCUAAUUUUUUGUAUUUUUAUUUCGCAGUGUUGACCAGGAUGGUCUCGGUCUCCUGAUCUUGUGAUCCGCCCGUCUCGGCCUCCCAAAGUGCUGGGAUUACAAGUGUGAGCCACCGCACCGGCCUACAAGAAAUGAUUGUCCCUUUUAUGGAUGAGGAGAUGGAGGCCCAGGAAGUAAUCUGCCAACAGCCCUACCAAGCCCAGGAAGCCGGCUGGACCUCCGUGUCUGCAUGUGAGGUCAGAGAUGGUCCCACUGGCUCCGUCCUGCUGGGGCCACUGGGGACAUCUGAUAGGGAGGGAUCCGUCCACAUCUCUGCCCAGAGUGACUUCUGACAUGGUUCAGUCUGCAAAGCUCCAGCAUGGGCAGCCAUAAAGCUGAGAGAGUGCAGAUUCCAGAGGAGAUUGAGCCGUUUAUCGCAGGAAAGCCUCCAUCAUUGUUGUCAACCUAAACCUCUGGCACCGUGCGUGACCCGCAGCUCCAGAUUCUGAUCUGAGCCUCUAGGCUCCGGGAUGGAGAAAGGGGACCCGAUCCUCCCAGGCAGAGGCGAGAGGAGACCAGUGGAAAGGAAGAGAUGUCUGUUUGAACAAAUUGACCAGUAGAGAUGAAUACAAGGAAAAGGUCCAGGCCUCCUCCCCGAAGCUACGCCCUGCAGGGAGCGCUGCUGUUGGCAGGCUGGGGAGCAGCCAUU
This 892-nucleotide long non-coding RNA is filed under the name Pan troglodytes (chimpanzee). Its description in RNAcentral is "long non-coding RNA NONPTRT006427". Lineage: Eukaryota; Metazoa; Chordata; Mammalia; Primates; Hominidae. The record is from RNAcentral.